AAUUUCAUAAUUUUUUGGCAUCACUAACUGAACGAUCAAAGGGUCACAAAAUCUAUAAUUUUAAUGGCCGAUAUGGUGCGUUUGCUCGUUUAACUGUAUAGAAGAGUUCAAAUUAACUAAAUUUUUGUUAAAAAAUUCUUUAAACUAUUUAAAAUAAGAUCUAGACUCUAGAUCUCAAAUAUAAAAAUUGUAUCAUCACUUUUUGAAGGAUAUUCAUUUCCAGCUAUUUAUUUUUCUGUUCACUUGAUGGACAAGAGAAUAAUAUCGAAAAUGUGUGAAAAAUUUGAUUUCCAGAUAGUUUAAAUAGAUAUAUAUGUGUGUGUGUGCGCGCGCGUAUUAGUCUGCUUGAGGGAAAGAGAGAGUGCAACAGUCGUUUGUAAUUCCAAAAGUUUAAGUUUUUAGAGAACGACGAUAUUUCUAACAUCAAUAUUAAUACGACACUUUUUCUUAGAUUUA
RNAcentral lists this long non-coding RNA (456 nucleotides) under Ananas comosus (pineapple). Its description in RNAcentral is "long non-coding RNA (ACOM_LNC042580)". The record is from RNAcentral. Lineage: Eukaryota; Viridiplantae; Streptophyta; Magnoliopsida; Poales; Bromeliaceae.